ACGGUCAUCCUUCCGCAGCGGCCCGAGGCGCGGGGCUGGAGAGCGGGGUCACAGACUCACACGGGAAGGGCGGGGAUGCCGGGCCCUCUGACUCACAGGCCCCCCACCCCCCUUCCAAGUCUGUUUUAUUCUUUGCCCCCAGAGCACUUGUCUCUGGAGGCAGCAUCAGCUCAAAAGGCCACCUGCCGAGAAGGCUGCGGCGGCAUUUGUACUUGGCGAGUUCUGGGCUUCCAGGGAGACAAGGGUUGGAAGUGGGAAUGUGACAAAGAGAAGGGUUUGGGCUUUCUGCGUGUAUUCGUACAGGCUGUGGGUAGAUGUGCCGCCACAGUAGCUUCUGGAAAAAAGCAGGGAAAAAGACAGUAAGUGCAAAUGAACGUGGACGGUGUUCCUCAUCUGGUUUGAAACUCAGGUUGGUGAUGGGAAAUUCCCGCCAGCCGGGAGUUAGGCUCGGUUGUAGACGUUGAAUCUUUUUUUUCUCUGCCUUUUUUUAAUUUGGAGGAGACUUUUGGAGAAAGACUUUGAGACAAUUAUAGUUGAAGGAAAUGAGAUACAAAGCGACGAGUUUCAGAUGUCACCAGCAUCUGUGGGUUAAAAUAUGGAAUUGGAAUGAAAAGGCUAGUGCCCGGUUACGGUACACUUUUGAUCUGUGUGGCGCGUGUCACGCUUGAUUAAUUACUGGUGUUGGAGACGUGUUGGAAAAAACACGUGUCGAGGUCUUCUGUGGAUGAAAGUUUGUCUAUACUCUAUUUCUUCAGGGACUUGAGUUUAUAUUUUUCUAGUACAGUUAACAUAUUUUAGAUUAUUUGAAAGCUAGUAUACUCCUUGGCUUAGUGAAAUAAAUGUUCCUGUGUUACAGAAACACUUCUAUAAACAUAAACAUUUCUGUAAACAUGUUCUAGAAACCCUUUCUAUAAACAUAUUUCUAUAACAGCAUUAAAAUAUAACAAUGUUCCAAGUAACAUUUACUUGGGGAACUUGCCUGGUGUAGCAAUUCCAGUUACCUGCCCUUACAUAUUCGUUAACGAUUGAAUUAACAUUUUAAUUUAGACUUAAGGAUGAACAAUUUAGGCUGUCAAAUGGAAAAAACAGUAGAAUGACCUACUUUUAAACUGUUUAAGCUCGAGUCCAGCUAAUUUUAUUACUGCUUGAGGUAAAAUAGAAUGAAAUUAUUUUACAUGUUAUUGAGGGAAGAUUUUGUUAGUUUCUACUUAAAAUAUUUUUAAAAAAUAACUGUUCUUGGCCUCAGGCAAAGGUUAUCACUUGGUCAGGAAUAUGAAAAUUAUGUGAUUAUUUCACAGAUUGGUGCUUCAACUGCUCACUUGUGCAUUCCUUUGUCAGGAACAAGUGAAUGGAAGCAAAUAGUGGUAACAUAAGGCUUGGGCUGCCCUAAACCCUACCAAAUUAUACGUUAAUUUUGUUGGAGCUGCUACUUACCGGUGGAAAAGUGUAAACUUUUGUCCUUCUUACAGGUAGAAAAGUAGGCAGUUCUUUGUUCUUUUUCUCAGUUUGCUGUUCUCAGCUGACAGUCCACCAGGGGAACAUUAGGAGAUUUUGGUAAUGUUUCUUUGUGACCUACUUAGAGCAGUUUUUCUUUUGCAAUUUAUGUUAUGGUUUUUCUUCUCCCCGCCCCCCCCCCACUCGUUCUAAUGUUUGCAUAGAAAGUAAACAACAGAGGCAGGUUUAAGUUUUUGUAAAAGUUUGUGAAUGGUAUAUGGUCCUUAGGACUGAGGGGGCUAGUGUUAAAAGAUAAAAUUUAACAUAAAACCAACAUUUGUGACUAAAGCCAAUUUUUUUUUUCUUUUAUUUUUGUCAGUCUAAUAAAACUGCCCACUUGGUCUUAACAUUUGCAAAUUGAUUGGUUACUUUUUUUAAGGUUUCAGAAUUCAAAUAAGCAUUGUAUGUUGUUUGUUUAAUUAUAUUGUGCUUUGGCUGCCUUGGACAAAACUAUUACUGACUUUACAGAGAAGAAUGGAUAAUUGUGGAAGUAGGUAGGUCGAAAAAGAAAAAAAACAAAAAACAAACUGCACCCUUCCCCCAGUAGUUUGUUAACAGCAAGUGGGAAAAACCUGUGGUAGUGCAAUACUGCCCUUCCAAGCCCUGGAGUUAAAUUUAGAUUCAGCAACUGUUAUCUCACAUGUAGUUGGUGAUCACAGUGUGGUGGCAAACUAGGUUUAUAAUUUUAUAUCUCAGAAAUCAGCUAUUUAUUUCUUUUUAAAGGUAUUCUAGGACAUCCUGUCUGGCUUCAGUUGGGAAGGCUAAGGCAAGGCAGGUGAUAUGGUUAAGAGUAGGAAUGAUUCACAUACAUGAAUAGUGUCUUAAUCUGUCUUUCGAGGUGGAAAGCAAUAAAAAAAAAUGCUCUCACUCCCUGUAGCUUAGUAAAUAAGGUCUUGAGGUGGCUUUAUGACAGAGUCCCUCUUCUGUCAGAUGGCUGUCUAUCAUGUAAUACUGCUUAGUUUUUGGUAUGCAUGUUGUAUCUUAGGUACUUAAUAAAAUAAAAAUUAUAGAUGAUUCAGAGAUGUGGCUUCCUGGAUGGUACACACAAGGCCUUUGUAGGGAUGUAAUCUUUGGUGGCUGUUAACUUCAUUGGUUUUAUAAAGCAUCAUGUAUUUGUAUAACCCUUUGCAUAUUUUGAAAGUGCUUUCACACAUCUUUGGUAUUACCAUUUUUUUUUUUUUUUAACUAAGAAGUGAAUUGGGGCUCUGAAACGGAAUUGUCCAAAGUAUUUUGAAAAGCAUGCGGUACCUAAUAGUGUACUAUAGCCUGCUAUUUACUUAAUUAAAAAAUCUUAGGGGGAUUUUGAAUAUGGAAGGUAAGAAUGUGACACCUACCUGCCUUUGCAGGCUUAUUCCACAUGCUGUUUAUGCAAAGCUGUUGGCUGUGCCUUAAGUACACCCUUGUUCCUGGACUCUGAGGUUGCCUAGAGUUUCCUGGAGUAUAUCCACCUGUCUUGAUCAUCUAUUUAAGAAUUUUGCAGAUGAGCAUCAGUAUUAACUAACAUAUCUUUUCACUUGAUGAGCAAGAUUGAUUUUUUAUUAAUUAUGAACCUGAGUAGGUUUUAACUUCGAAGUGGGGAAGGGAUACACUAAGGUAAAAGAUAAAAGUUAAGUAUUCUGAUUCCUGAAGGGUUUUUCUUUCAGAAAAACGGUAUUUUUGAGAUAAAAUUUGUGGAAGAGUUGCAAUUUAUAUACUUAUUAUCCAGUGUUAACAUAUUACAGUCAGGGUACUUUGAACAGAACUGAUAAAUUAACAUCAAUAAAAUACUGUAAACUCAAUGACAGACUGUAUUUGGAUUUCCUGUUUUUCUACUAAAGUCCUUUUUCUGUUUCAGGAUCCAGUCCAGGAUGCCACAUUGUAUGUAGUCUCCUUAGUCUCCUGAUCUGUGUCACUUUGUCUUUCCUUUUGACUUUCUUGACCAUACACUUGAUGUCAUUUGGAUCUGAUAUUAAGAUUACACUGAAGUACGGAUUUUAGGGGAAGAAUACCACAGAAAUUACCCUUAUCGAGUCAUAUUGGGGGUCCAUAAUAUAUACCUCGUUGAAUUUAAACUCAUGAUUUUGUUAAGGUGGUAUCUGUCAGGUUAGUAUUUUUUCCCCUUUCCAUACUAUUUCUUAGGUGCUAGUUACUAAGUCCUGGUCACACUCAAGGAGAGAAGAGAAUUAGACUCUACUUCUCUAGAAGGAGGAGAAUGUGAAUUUGUGGACAUACAUUAAAGCUACUGUUAAUAUUUUGGCAUGCAAAUAAAGUUCCCCUUCUUAAUUUUAGCAUUUUAGGAUCUUGUCUGCAGGUAUUACUGCAGAUAGGUAUUACUGUUCUAAUAGUGAUUUAAAAAAAAAUUUGCCCAAUUCUUUCUACAGUAUUAUAAAUUCUCUGUAAGGAAGAUUUGUGUAUUCUUCAUUUGUUUCUUUUCAGUCAUUUAUGUGACUGUAGACCAUGGAUAUUAAUUUUGUUCUUUGGAUUGUAAUCCACCAUUAUCCUUGCUGAUAUUUACUUAUUUUUUAAUAUUUAUUUUAUUUUCUAUUUUUAUACAGUAUUUUUCAGGCUGGUCUUGAACUCCUGGGCUCAAGCAAUCCUGUCUUGGCCCCCCAAAGUGCUGGGAUUACAGGUGUCAGCCACUGUGCCUGGCCACAGAUUAUUUUGUUCAUAUUGUUCCAGCUUUUUUUUUGGCUCUUUUGUUUUGAUACUUGCCUGUCUUUUCUGUUUUUUAAAAGCAUUUUCUUUCUUUCAUUAAUUACCAGGUGUUUCAGACUCGUAUCUUGUAUUUUGCCUGUCUCAGGUCCGGAAUCAACCAUUUCUCCAAGGAGCUGUCAAGAAGAAUUUUGAAGGGAGGGUAACAGGUGGUAAAUGUGAAGAGUUUGGAAAAUAGAUUGACGAUACCACCUGUAUUUCCAGCUUCUCAAAAGACUGAGGUGGCAGAGACAAUUACUUGAGCCCGGGAGUUUGAGGCCGCAGUGACCUAUGAUCAUGCCACUGCACUCCAGCCUGGGCAACACAGCAGACUCUUAAAAAAAAAGUAUACCCAUGAAACUGUCACCACAGUCAAGGUGGUGAACGUAUCUGUUACCGCCAAAAGUUUUCUCAUGUCCCUUUUCCCUUUCUUACUUGUUCCUCCCACCCUUCUCCCUGCAGGAAAUCCUUGGUCUUUCUAUAACUGUAGAUUACUUUGCAUUGUCUAGAAUUUUUGUGUAAAUAAGUUAUGUUCUUUUUUUGUUGCUCAGUGCUAGUCUGUUGUGUAGGCGUAUCACAGUUUAUUGAUUUACCUGUUGGUGGACAUUGAAACAUGCAAAACCUGUGUUUUCAGCUUUUUGACUAUAUUAAAAAUAAAGCUUCUGAACUUUGUGUACAAAUCUU
Molecule: non-coding RNA, 4848 nt
Organism: Callithrix jacchus (white-tufted-ear marmoset)
Lineage: Eukaryota; Metazoa; Chordata; Mammalia; Primates; Cebidae
Source: RefSeq, a predicted model, not a curated record